GCUGACGUGGCUCAAUCGGUAGAGCAGCGCACUCGUAACGCGCAGGUUGAGGGUUCAAGUCCCUCCGCCAGCU
This 73-nucleotide transfer RNA is filed under the name Clostridiales bacterium KA00134. It matches the Rfam family "tRNA". From Rfam's summary of the family: Transfer RNA (tRNA) molecules are approximately 80 nucleotides in length. Lineage: Bacteria; Bacillati; Bacillota; Clostridia; Eubacteriales. The record is from Rfam by way of RNAcentral.